Molecule: long non-coding RNA, 1573 nt
Filed under: Marmota monax (woodchuck)
Lineage: Eukaryota; Metazoa; Chordata; Mammalia; Rodentia; Sciuridae
Source: RNAcentral
CCAAAAUUGAAGGUAGAAAUAUCUACUAACAGCAGCAGGUAAUGUUGAGAAAAUACAUUGGGGUCAUAAUACGAUAUAACUUCUUAAAAAGAUUCAAACUUCCUCUUAUGGUUGAGGAGAGAACCAAAGUCCCUAAAUACACCAAUGAAAGGAACGUAAAGCUAAAAGGCUGACCCACCAGCCCACUGCUCUGUUAUUGGCAUUUGAUAGCAACAUGGGGCACACCCACCUUCAUUUUUUCUGAACCUCUAAGAAAAGCCAGCUCUCUUCAGGCUCAGAGGCAGUGUAACACUGCGAGCUCUCUUGUCUUUUUUCUCCACUUUCCUUCCAGCUUCCUCCACUGGUAGAGUAGAUAGCGUUCUCUACUAAGUCCCUGGUAGCUGCUGCUACCAGAAAUGCUAGUCUGUUCAUUCAGCCACUCUGCCCCAUGGAGAGCUUUAAGCUAAUUGUAUUCUAGCCUCAGUUGUCUUAACUGCACAAUUAAAAACAUUUUCAAAGCCCUGUGAUCUAAGUCCCUAAUCAUUAUUUCCUAUUCUUCCAGUUCAACUUUGUCCACCAAGUUUGAUAAUUUUUCAGGAACCCCAAUCCAUCACUGCCUUUGACUUUGCUUCCUAUCUUGGCCAGCAUUAACCUCUUUUCCUCUUUUGAACUAACUUGGCAAAACCUUAAAUAUGAUUAACUCCAACUGCCCACUGAUUGUACACCUAGACUGAAGUAGCUGUUGGAACUGGAUGAAAUCACCUCUCUUACCGACCAGUCAUGACUGGAAAUCUCAAAUGAGAUUCACUACUUUCCAAAGUUCCAGGCAUAUUUCUUUAUUUUUGCACUCUGACACAAGUCUCACCCCACUGUUUAAAUCUCCCACACUCCUCCCCUGUCACUUGCCUGAUCAUUGAGAAAAUAGAUGCAGAUGUAGGCAGGCCCUCAACUUCCACCAACCCAUAUGCCUGCUGGAUACACAUUACAUGGACUUGCACUUAGAAAUUUCCCUGCAUGUAUACAAAGCUUUUUCUGGGUAGCUGGACCCCUAGACUUGAAUCAAAUGAAUGGAAAAAUUGUAGAUGGUGGAGGUAGGUCUUAUUUCUAAGGUGACCACCAGUUUCUCUGAUCUUUGGCUCAAACAUUUCAUUAUCUCCAGUCAGAAUGGCCUGACUUAGGACAUAAAACGCACACACACACACAAAAUCUAUUUUGCCAGCUUAUCACAAGACUUGGAGCCCCUUGAGGAAAGGAAAAGUUUGGCCUAUUCACUUUUGUCAUGCUUUCACUAGCACCCAGUUCUUGAAAGGCACUCACAAAGCUUUUGGGUAUCUGGUUUGGAAUAUAUGAAAUCUUUUUUCCGCUUCCCUAAAUCUCAUUUGUUCUGAAAAAUCCAGGAUUUGUCAUCACUGAGAAAUGUUAAGUGAUGUACCACUGGGCAUGCUGGCACACACCUGUAAUCCCAAUGACUUGGGAGGCUGAGACAGGAGGAUCACAAGUUUGAGGCCCACUUUAGCAACUUAUCAGGACCCUGCUCAACUUAGACCUUGUCUCAAAAUUAAAAAGAGAUAAGGAUGUGGUUCAGUGGUUAAGC